GAGUUUGAUCUUGGCUCAGGAUGAACGCUGGCGGCGUGCCUAACACAUGCAAGUCGAGCGAAGCACUUUGCUUAGAUUCUUUCGGGAUGAAGAGUGAUUUGACUGAGCGGCGGACGGGUGAGUAACGCGUGGGUAACCUGCCUCACACAGGGGGAUAACAGUUAGAAAUGACUGCUAAUACCGCAUAAGACCACAGCACCGCAUGGUGCAGGGGUAAAACUCCGGUGGUGUGAGAUGGACCCGCGUCUGAUUAGCUAGUUGGUAAGGUAACGGC
This 274-nucleotide ribosomal RNA is filed under the name uncultured bacterium. RNAcentral describes it as "partial 16S ribosomal RNA". It matches the Rfam family "Bacterial small subunit ribosomal RNA", at positions 9 to 264 of the family's 1533-position model. The record is from RNAcentral.